Molecule: ribosomal RNA, 482 nt
Filed under: uncultured bacterium
Lineage: Bacteria
Description: bacterial SSU rRNA
Rfam family: Bacterial small subunit ribosomal RNA
Source: RNAcentral
ACGCUGGCGGCGUGCUUAACACAUGCAAGUCGAACGGAAACGGCCCCCACCUUGGUGGGGGUGCUCGAGUGGCGAACGGGUGAGUAACACGUGGGUGAUCUGCCCUGCACUUCGGGAUAAGCUUGGGAAACUGGGUCUAAUACCGGAUAGGACCAUGGUUUAGUGUCUCAUGGUGGAAAAAUUAUUGUUUUGGUGCAGGAUGAGCUCGCGGCCUAUCAGCUUGUUGGUGGGGUAAUGGCCUACCAAGGCGUCGACGGGUAGCCGGCCUGAGAGGGUGGACGGCCACAUUGGGACUGAGAUACGGCCCAGACUCCUACGGGAGGCAGCAGUGGGGAAUAUUGCACAAUGGGCGCAAGCCUGAUGCAGCGACGCCGCGUGGGGGAUGACGGCCUUCGGGUUGUAAACUCCUUUCGUUAGGGACGAAGCCGCACCUUUUUUGGGUGUGGUGACGGUACCUUUGUUAAGAAGCACCGGCUAACUAC